Molecule: ribosomal RNA, 595 nt
Filed under: Psychrobacter sp. UST050418-303
Lineage: Bacteria; Pseudomonadati; Pseudomonadota; Gammaproteobacteria; Moraxellales; Moraxellaceae
Description: bacterial SSU rRNA
Rfam family: Bacterial small subunit ribosomal RNA
Source: RNAcentral
GGCAGGCUUACACAUGCAGUCGAGCGGAAACGAUGAUAGCUUGCUAUCAGGCGUCGAGCGGCGGACGGGUGAGUAAUACUUAGGAAUCUACCUAGUAGUGGGGGAUAGCACGGGGAAACUCGUAUUAAUACCGCAUACGUCCUACGGGAGAAAGGGGGCAACUUGUUGCUCUCGCUAUUAGAUGAGCCUAAGUCGGAUUAGCUAGAUGGUGGGGUAAAGGCCUACCAUGGCGACGAUCUGUAGCUGGUCUGAGAGGAUGAUCAGCCACACCGGGACUGAGACACGGCCCGGACUCCUACGGGAGGCAGCAGUGGGGAAUAUCGGACAAUGGGGGAAACCCUGAUCCAGCCAUGCCGCGUGUGUGAAGAAGGCCUUUUGGUUGUAAAGCACUUUAAGCAGUGAAGAAGACUCUUCGGUUAAUACCCGGAGACGAUGACAUUAGCUGCAGAAUAAGCACCGGCUAACUCUGUGCCAGCAGCCGCGGUAAUACAGAGGGUGCAAGCGUUAAUCGGAAUUACUGGGCGUAAAGCGAGCGUAGGUGGCUUGAUAAGUCAGAUGUGAAAUCCCCGGGCUUAACCUGGGAACUGCAUCUGAA